UGGGGAAUCUUGGACAAUGGGGGCAACCCUGAUCCAGCCAUGCCGCGUGAGUGAUGAAGGCCUUAGGGUCGUAAAGCUCUUUCGCCUGUGAAGAUAAUGACGGUAGCAGGUAAAGAAACCCCGGCUAACUUCGUGCCAGCAGCCGCGGUAAUACGAAGGGGGCUAGCGUUGUUCGGAAUUACUGGGCGUAAAGGGCGUGUAGGCGGAUGAUCAAGCUAGGGGUGAAAGCCCAGGGCCCAACCCUGGAACUGCCUUUAGAACUGAUUGUCUAGAAUCCGUAAGGGGAGUGUGGAAUUCCUAGUGUAGAGGUGAAAUUCGUAGAUAUUAGGAAGAACACCAGUGGCGAAGGCGGCACUCUGGUACGGUAUUGACGCUGAGGCGCGAAAGCGUGGGGAGCAAACAGG
This 404-nucleotide ribosomal RNA is filed under the name uncultured bacterium. RNAcentral's name for it is "bacterial SSU rRNA". It matches the Rfam family "Bacterial small subunit ribosomal RNA", at positions 355 to 776 of the family's 1533-position model. The record is from RNAcentral.